Molecule: transfer RNA, 73 nt
Filed under: Bacteroides fragilis
Lineage: Bacteria; Pseudomonadati; Bacteroidota; Bacteroidia; Bacteroidales; Bacteroidaceae
Also listed under: 1 other name
Description: tRNA-Gly
Rfam family: tRNA
About the family: Transfer RNA (tRNA) molecules are approximately 80 nucleotides in length.
Source: RNAcentral
GCGGAAGUAGCUCAGUUGAUAGGGCAUUAGCCUUCCAAGCUGAGGGUCGCGGGUUUGAGCCCCGUCUUCCGCU